GAUGAACGCUGGCGGCGUGCCUAAUACAUGCAAGUCGAGCGAACGGACGAGAAGCUUGCUUCUCUGAUGUUAGCGGCGGACGGGUGAGUAACACGUGGAUAACCUACCUAUAAGACUGGGAUAACUUCGGGAAACCGUAGCUAAUACCGGAUAAUAUUUUGAACCGCAUGGUUCAAAAGUGAAAGACGGUCUUGCUGUCACUUAUAGAUGGAUCCGCGCUGCAUUAGCUAGUUGGUAAGGUAACGGCUUACCAAGGCAACGAUGCAUAGCCGACCUGAGAGGGUGAUCGGCCACACUAGAACUGAGACACGGUCCAGACUCCUACGGGAGGCAGCAGUAGGGAAUCUUCCGCAAUGGGCGGAAGCCUGACGGAGCAACGCCGCGUGAGUGAUGAAGGUCUUCGGAUCGUAAAACUCUGUUAUUAGGGAAGAACAUAUGUGUAAGUAACUGUGCACAUCUUGACGGUACCUAAUCAGAAAGCCACGGCUAACUACGUG
RNAcentral lists this ribosomal RNA (497 nucleotides) under uncultured bacterium. Its description in RNAcentral is "partial 16S ribosomal RNA". It matches the Rfam family "Bacterial small subunit ribosomal RNA", at positions 28 to 507 of the family's 1533-position model. The record is from RNAcentral.